Molecule: ribosomal RNA, 253 nt
Filed under: uncultured bacterium
Lineage: Bacteria
Description: partial 16S ribosomal RNA
Rfam family: Bacterial small subunit ribosomal RNA
Source: RNAcentral
UACGUAGGGUGCGAGCGUUGCCCGGAUUUAUUGGGCGUAAAGGGCGCGUAGGCGGCUCUGCACGUCCGUUGUGAAAUCGCCCGGCUCAACUGGGCGGGGUCAGCGGAUACGGCAGAGCUCGAGCAAGCUAGGGGGCAAUGGAAUUCCCGGUGUAGUGGUGGAAUGCGUAGAUAUCAGGAGGAACACCGGUGGCGAAGGCGGAUCUCUGGGCCUUGCCUGACGCUGAGGCGCGAAAGCUAGGGGAGCGAACAGG